CCAUGUAGUUGCACAAUACACCAUGUGUCAACCCUGUCAACGGAAACCAUAAAACCGGCCGGUUGUGAGAACUUUAGCCUGAAAAAACUCAACAUGUGCCACCCUUAUUUCCCCACAAUUGAACAAACUAGAUUCUCUUUUUACCCUAAACUUAAAAAAAAACAUUUCUGAAACGAAAUUUUAAUUAAUCUAAUCCUACUACAGAUUAGUUAUUUUUUACUCAACUCAAUUAUUUACAUUAUUUCACACAGUUGUUGUUAUUACAAAAUAUAUAACAGACUAUAUUUAUUGCUGAAACAAAAUAUACAUUAUUUAAAAAAGUAAUUCAAAAUAAAAUCAGGUUUUUGGAGCAGGAUACAAGAAAUAUUUGCUCUCCCUUCACUGGACAAUAAAAUUGUUGAUAUUUUUAGCAGUAAAUAAGCAGCUAAAGUUUAAACAAAGAUGAGAUUUUAUUGUCCAAUAAAAGUAUUAAUAUGGCAAUGGUCUAUUAUUACUACUAAACAAUUAUUUAUUAAGGAAAUAUUAUGGAAUCUAAAUAUUGACAGCACUAAAAGGAAUCAAAAUAUCUUUAGUGCUGUCAGCGACCAAAACAUUUUUUAAAUCUUUUUUCCUUAAAAUAACUAUGUUAUGGUAGCUAUUUUCAGUGUAAAAACAAUACAUAAUUUACAAUAUUUCGAGUUUAUAUACUUUACCUUAAUAAUGAAAGGUAUGAAUCAAUUUUGUGAUAAAAUUAGUAAAAUCUAAGCUGUCCUAUUACAAUCAAUUCCUUUAGCGCACCGACGAAUUAGUACGUUAUAUAGAAUAGACUGACGCUUUUAUGCCUUAGGGUAUAUCCGAUCCGAGAAAAUUCUGAUCUAUGAGCGAAAUUAAUAAUGAAUCCUAUCUGUAAUAUAUCGAUAAGUUUCCUAGCAGCAAACAUUUAUAUUUGUCAAAUAAUGUAUGGUCUCUUUAAAAUACUACGGAUAGAUUGAUUAUUAAUUUUGGCCACUAGAAAACUCGAAUCCUGCGUCUGUUCCGACUGAUGUUGCUUGCGUGUUCUUGACUCUGAUUCGGAUCGGACGCAGUGGGCAAGCGUUCAUACAAGUUUCACUGAGGUUAAUUCAUUCGGUCCAUUAACAAUGCUCCUUAUUGGAGAUAUUCUCUGCUUUGGAAAUUAAUUGCUUUGGAUCUAGUGUGCAACAACCCCUCAUAUAAAUAGUAAUUCAGAUUGAGAAUUCUCGGAUUCGGAUCGGAUGCAGUGCAUAAAAAACCAAGGCAUAAAAACACACCGCAUGCGAAUGCGUCGGUGUCCUAAAAGAGUAAUUAUUACAAAUUUUUCAAUAUUAUAAAAACAAAUUAAUAUUUUUUUAGUUCGAAAAUUAUGUUUUAAACAUUCAUACAACAACACUUGUAACUAUUUCCUAAAGCAUUAUUUACAAGUCAAAAUAAGGGUUGAUAUUUCAAUCACUACCGAAUUUUACUAAAAAAAUAAAUUUUACAGAACUGUACAAAAAAUGUCUAAGCGACACUCAUUUGGCGAUUGAAAAAUCGGAUACAAAUGUAUGAAAUUAUUUUUCAUCUUAGCAGAUCAAGUCACUAAGUCCAUUCAAAACUAAGCCAAAUAAUCUUCAACUGAGGACUAAAUUUGACAUUUCGAGUUUUUGUAUUGAAAACAUUUAAAAAAAAGUUUAACUCUGUUGUGCAGUUUAAGAUUAUUAAGCUACUGAAAAAUCAGUUCUAAGGUCUACUUGCGUAAGGUUCACUUAAUUUACUGAUUUAGUUAUUUUUUUGCUGUCACUUUUUGGCAAUCACAUUGUUUUUGUAUAGUGUGCAGAGUAUAGAGCACGCAAAACAAGAAGUCCAAUUUUAAACGAGGCCUAUGACUGCGAAUUUUACAUAAACAGUCUAAGCCUCAGAGCUUCAGUAUUUAAUCCUUAGUCUAUGAUCUGUUCAAGUCUCUAUGUUGCAACUUCAGGUGGACUUCUUGUUUUGCAAUUACUAUCUUCUUGUUUAUCUUCUUGUCAUGGCAAUUCAAUGAAUUUCUGACUUACGACUAUAACUUAACGAGAAAUAUUACUUAU
This is a long non-coding RNA of Maniola jurtina (meadow brown), 2060 nucleotides long. RefSeq lists it as uncharacterized. Lineage: Eukaryota; Metazoa; Arthropoda; Insecta; Lepidoptera; Nymphalidae. The transcript has 3 exons. The record is from RefSeq and is a predicted model, not a curated record.